This 253-nucleotide ribosomal RNA is filed under the name uncultured bacterium. Its description in RNAcentral is "partial 16S ribosomal RNA". It matches the Rfam family "Bacterial small subunit ribosomal RNA", at positions 524 to 776 of the family's 1533-position model. The record is from RNAcentral.
UACGUAGGGUGCGAGCGUUAAUCGGAAUUACUGGGCGUAAAGCGUGCGCAGGCGGUUUGUUAAGUCAGGUGUGAAAUCCCCGGGCUCAACCUGGGAAUGGCGCUUGUAACUGGCAGGCUAGAGUGUGUCAGAGGGAGGUAGAAUUCCACGUGUAGCAGUGAAAUGCGUAGAGAUGUGGAGGAAUACCGAUGGCGAAGGCAGCCUCCUGGGAUAACACUGACGCUCAGGCACGAAAGCGUGGGGAGCAAACAGG